RNAcentral lists this ribosomal RNA (497 nucleotides) under uncultured bacterium. Its description in RNAcentral is "partial 16S ribosomal RNA". It matches the Rfam family "Bacterial small subunit ribosomal RNA", at positions 28 to 507 of the family's 1533-position model. The record is from RNAcentral.
GAUGAACGCUGGCGGCGUGCCUAAUACAUGCAAGUCGAGCGAACAGGCGAGGAGCUUGCUCCUCUGACGUUAGCGGCGGACGGGUGAGUAACACGUGGAUAACCUACCUAUAAGACUGGGAUAACUUCGGGAAACCGGAGCUAAUACCGGAUAAUAUAUUGAACCGCAUGGUUCAAUAGUGAAAGACGGUUUUGCUGUCACUUAUAGAUGGAUCCGCGCCGCAUUAGCUAGUUGGUAAGGUAACGGCUUACCAAGGCGACGAUGCGUAGCCGACCUGAGAGGGUGAUCGGCCACACUGGAACUGAGACACGGUCCAGACUCCUACGGGAGGCAGCAGUAGGGAAUCUUCCGCAAUGGGCGAAAGCUUGACGGAGCAACGCCGCGUGAGUGAUGAAGGUCUUCGGAUCGUAAAACUCUGUUAUUAGGGAAGAACAAAUGUGUAAGUAACUAUGCACGUCUUGACGGUACCUAAUCAGAAAGCCACGGCUAACUACGUG